This 53-nucleotide small RNA is filed under the name Coleofasciculus chthonoplastes PCC 7420. RNAcentral's name for it is "Microcoleus chthonoplastes PCC 7420 Nitrogen stress-induced RNA 1". It matches the Rfam family "Nitrogen stress-induced RNA 1". Lineage: Bacteria; Bacillati; Cyanobacteriota; Cyanophyceae; Coleofasciculales; Coleofasciculaceae. The record is from Rfam by way of RNAcentral.
CGGUAGAUGCACCCUGGUUAUAGACUUCAGCCUCACGGCUGAGGUUUUUUUUC